GCGGUCGUGGCGGAAUUGGCAGACGCGCUAGACUCAGGAUCUAGUGGAGGCAACUCCAUGGAGGUUCAAAUCCUCUCGACCGCA
Molecule: transfer RNA, 84 nt
Filed under: Thermosinus carboxydivorans Nor1
Lineage: Bacteria; Bacillati; Bacillota; Negativicutes; Selenomonadales; Sporomusaceae
Rfam family: tRNA
About the family: Transfer RNA (tRNA) molecules are approximately 80 nucleotides in length.
Source: Rfam by way of RNAcentral